Molecule: long non-coding RNA, 209 nt
Organism: Cynoglossus semilaevis (tongue sole)
Lineage: Eukaryota; Metazoa; Chordata; Actinopteri; Pleuronectiformes; Cynoglossidae
Exons: 3
Source: RefSeq, a predicted model, not a curated record
GCUUCCUAUUAUUGUAACAAGCUGGGAUUCGAACCGUUGGCCUACAGGGGCUUGGAGACCGGCAGCCGCGAUGUGGUGUCGCACGUGGUCAAACAAGACAAGAUCAUUUACGUUUUUUCUUCUGCCCUCAACCCCGGAAACAAAGAGAUGGGAGAACAUUUGGUGAGACACGGGGACGGAGUGAAGGACAUAGCGUUUACCGUGGAGGA